AGUCCCUCCGUGGGAGCACCAUAGAAGGGCAGAGACCUCGGCUUCCAAGCCAGACCCCAGAUGCUUCCCCUGCCCCAGCUGGUUGUUGUGCUUGUCACUGACUACUUGGGUGAUUCCUGCCGCUUGUAUGCUUCUCCGGCUGUGUGGGAGACACACUUCACCUUAUGGCUCCGCCCUACAAAGGUUACGUUUGCCGCCUGGAAGAGCAGUCGACUGUGCCGAUCGGGAACGUCUCAUCGCACCCCUUUUCCACGCCAUCUGUCUGACCUGGACCCAUUCCAAACACUAUGGCUUUGCUGGCAGAAUGGUCUUCCUGCUACAGAAGUUUUGUAAUCUGCUAAUUGACAGGGCAUCCCGUUUGUGCGCGAUCACG
Molecule: long non-coding RNA, 373 nt
Organism: Enhydra lutris kenyoni (northern sea otter)
Lineage: Eukaryota; Metazoa; Chordata; Mammalia; Carnivora; Mustelidae
Exons: 3
Source: RefSeq, a predicted model, not a curated record